Molecule: long non-coding RNA, 384 nt
Filed under: Mytilus galloprovincialis (Mediterranean mussel)
Lineage: Eukaryota; Metazoa; Mollusca; Bivalvia; Mytilida; Mytilidae
Source: RNAcentral
GGCGGUGCGACAACCUUGUAAGCCUUUGAAAAAUCGCUCAUAAAUUACCAUAUAUCAUUUUUCAGGAUAUUUGUCUUUAAAGUCAUUAAAUUAAGCAAAUUAACAUUGAUGUAGUAAAUACAAAUACUAAACUUUUUCCAUUUUAGAUAAACGUUUUUGAUUCUCAAAUCUGGAAUCCCAUUUUUUUCCCCGUGUGGGACAGUUUUGCCCUUGUAGUAUGGAACGCUUUUUUUUCUAUUACGUCAUCAUAACGUCAUUCAAAAAUGCAUAAGAGACUGCAAGAACCUUUCUGUUAAGUAAUGGAAAAAAACGUUUUUCAAAAUAUUAAAUAGUUUAGACGAAAAUCAUGGUUUAGUGGUUACAAUAAAUGGUAUAUGUUACGCG